Molecule: ribosomal RNA, 253 nt
Filed under: uncultured bacterium
Lineage: Bacteria
Description: partial 16S ribosomal RNA
Rfam family: Bacterial small subunit ribosomal RNA
Source: RNAcentral
UACAGAGGGUGCAAGCGUUAAUCGGAAUUACUGGGCGUAAAGCGCGCGUAGGUGGUUUGUUAAGUUGGGUGUGAAAGCCCCGGGCUCAACCUGGGAACUGCAUCCAAAACUGGCCAACUAGAGUACAGUAGAGGGUGGUGGAAUUUCCUGUGUAGCGGUGAAAUGCGUAGAUAUAGGAAGGAACACCAGUGGCGAAGGCGGCCUCCUGGUUCAAUACUGACGCUGAGGUGCGAAAGCGUGGGGAUCAAACAGG